RNAcentral lists this small nuclear RNA (104 nucleotides) under Xenopus laevis (African clawed frog). RNAcentral's name for it is "U2 spliceosomal RNA". It matches the Rfam family "U2 spliceosomal RNA". Rfam says of the family: U2 is a small nuclear RNA (snRNA) component of the spliceosome (involved in pre-mRNA splicing). Lineage: Eukaryota; Metazoa; Chordata; Amphibia; Anura; Pipidae. The record is from Rfam by way of RNAcentral.
AGUGCCUCUCAGCCUUUUGGCUAAGAUCAAGUUUAGUAUCUGUUCUUAUCAGGGGGUGAGGUGCAUCUUAGCUAAAGGGUCCACCCAAUGUGGAUUCAACCACU